UGGGGAAUAUUGGACAAUGGGCGAAAGCCUGAUUCAGCCAUGCCGCGUGUGUGAAGAAGGUCUUCGGAUUGUAAAGCACUUUAAGUUGGGAGGAAGGGCAGUAAGCGAAUACCUUGCUGUUUUGAUGUUACCGACAGAAUAAGCACCGGCUAACUCUGUGCCAGCAGCCGCGGUAAUACAGAGGGUGCAAGCGUUAAUCGGAAUUACUGGGCGUAAAGCGCGCGUAGGUGGUUCGUUAAGUUGAAUGUGAAAGCCCCGGGCUCAACCUGGGAACUGCAUCCAAAACUGGCGAGCUAGAGUAGGGCAGAGGGUGGUGGAAUUUCCUGUGUAGCGGUGAAAUGCGUAGAUAUAGGAAGGAACACCAGUGGCGAAGGCGACCACCUGGGCUCAUACUGACACUGAGGUGCGAAAGCGUGGGGAGCAAACAGG
This 429-nucleotide ribosomal RNA is filed under the name Pseudomonadota bacterium. RNAcentral's name for it is "Proteobacteria bacterium partial 16S ribosomal RNA". It matches the Rfam family "Bacterial small subunit ribosomal RNA", at positions 355 to 776 of the family's 1533-position model. The record is from RNAcentral. Lineage: Bacteria; Pseudomonadati; Pseudomonadota.